This is a long non-coding RNA of Helianthus annuus (common sunflower), 1691 nucleotides long. RefSeq lists it as uncharacterized. NCBI's taxonomy places the organism in Eukaryota, Viridiplantae, Streptophyta, Magnoliopsida, Asterales, Asteraceae. The transcript is spliced from 4 exons. The record is from RefSeq and is a predicted model, not a curated record.
ACACACGUCUUUUCAUUCCCCACUUUCAAAGAAGACAGAGGAAGAGAACAGAGAAAAAGGGAGAAGACAAAGCGAGAUCAGGAAGUCACCGUCAACCGGCGAUGGAGGCUGCCCGAUGCGAAGUCGGGUCAUCGCACUGGCGGUUAACCGCCGUAAUCCAAGUGGUGUCUAGGGUUUUGUUGGUAACAACAACUACACUAGCAAGAUGAUUCAUUCACAACAUGAACAUUAUCUUUCUUAAUCAACUGUUUGCAUCAAUUCAGGUAGCUUCUUGCUCUAUUUCUUCUUGUCUUUGUUUAAAUUCACAUAUUAAAUUCAAAAUCUCAUAUAGCAACAUGGAUCUACUGCCUUCAUUGAGUUCUAAACAUGUUGAUGCUGUAAUUUAGUUAAAUAGUUGUUUAGAGUUUUAUUCAAAUUUGGGUUUUAUUAGCUUUUGACAAUUAAGGAUUUUGAAUUUCUGAUGGUGUAUAGAAAAUUGGUGAAUUAUUUAUGUUACUUGGUAAAAUUAAGAACAUAAAGAAUUAAUGGAUGAUUAUUCCAAGUAUUCCCAUAGUCCUGCUCCUCUAGCUGUUGCUCAACGAGACCAUACCAUGUUUAAGAAACUUAUUACUAUCCUCCGAUAGUUGGCGAAAGCCGGUGCGGCUAACACCUAGGCUGAAUUUGUAGCUGCUGAUCUUGAUGCGGAUAUCACGUUGCUUAUGUUAGACCCUAAUUCCAUUCCGACCACAUUGACAGACACCGUGACCAUUUCGUAACCAUCGCCCUCUGCUAACCAAAAUUGUUGCCUCAGUUUAUAUUCUAAUACGCGGCAAGGUACCUUAAUCGAACUACCUUUCGAUUUCAAAUUACUUAUUCAGUUAGGUACCUUAAUUGAACUACCUUUCGAUUUCAAAUUACUUAUUCAGUUAAUUGGUUUGCUCAUUUUGUUGAACUCUGUUAUAAUACUCAAUACACCACAUUGAGAAGAGAAGGGUUCUAAAUAACAAAGUAUAAGCACAUUUGUAUAUGUAUUCUAUCUAUAUUUUUGAUUCAUAGAUCAGCAGAGGAAUCUGGUUGUGAUUCCGAAUUUGUGGGAUUGGAAGGUUGUUGUUGGCAUCUGCACGUCAUAUGGACAUAUAUUGAAGAAAAGAAACCUGUCAAGCCUGGUUUCAAUAAGCGAGAGCUGCGUAUAGGUCUCGAAAGCCAAGGUGCCAGACGUGAGAAUUAUAAAAAGUCUGAUGUUUGAAGAAUUUAUAUAUCAUAUUUAGCACACAGAUGUUGCUCAUAAUAUAAAAAAAUCACCAGCUGUUGACAACAAUCUCUACUGUCGUUGAUCUCAAUUACCCGGAGAAAACAUCACACUUUAUAUAGUAAAUGUGGCAGACGAGAGACGCGAGCUUGUAGGGGGAAAAAGUUGCUCAAACAUGUGGAUGAAUCUCAGGAUCGUACAAAAGGCUAUAGUUGAGAGAGUUGGCUAUUCUAAACAAUAACCUUCGAUGGCAUACUCCAUAGUAUGCAGCCAAGAGGCAGUGUGUCACCUUUUGAUUCCAACAGAAAAAAAAACGUGCCAAGACCGGGUUCCAAGGAACCCGACAUCGUAUUAUCAACCUGUGUGUAUUAGUGUACACAAUUAUUUAUAUAACGUUGUAGUUAUAGUUGUUACUCGGAUUUUGAUAACGAAUUAUGAUAAGCUUAAACACAACUGGCUUGCA